This 474-nucleotide ribosomal RNA is filed under the name uncultured bacterium. RNAcentral's name for it is "SSU rRNA". It matches the Rfam family "Bacterial small subunit ribosomal RNA", at positions 26 to 518 of the family's 1533-position model. The record is from RNAcentral.
AGGACGAACGCUGGCGGCGUGCUUAACACAUGCAAGUCGAGCGGAAAGGCCCUUCGGGGUACUCGAGCGGCGAACGGGUGAGUAACACGUGAGCAACCUGCCCUUAGCUCUGGGAUAGCUCCGGGAAACCGGAAUUAAUACCGGAUAUGACCUAGGCCGACAUCGGCCGUGGUGGAAAGUUUUUCGGCUAGGGAUGGACUCGCGGCCUAUCAGCUAGUUGGUGGGGUAAUGGCCUACCAAGGCGACGACGGGUAGCCGGCCUGAGAGGGCGACCGGCCACACUGGGACUGAGACACGGCCCAGACUCCUACAGGAGGCAGCAGUGGGGAAUCUUGCGCAAUGGGCGAAAGCCUGACGCAGCGACGCCGCGUGGGGGAUGAAGGCCUUCGGGUUGUAAACCCCUUUCAGCAGGGACGAAGCGAAAGUGACGGUACCUGCAGAAGAAGCGCCGGCUAACUACGUGCCAGCAGCCGC